Molecule: transfer RNA, 77 nt
Filed under: Helicobacter canis
Lineage: Bacteria; Pseudomonadati; Campylobacterota; Epsilonproteobacteria; Campylobacterales; Helicobacteraceae
Also listed under: 2 other names
Description: tRNA-Met(cat)
Rfam family: tRNA
About the family: Transfer RNA (tRNA) molecules are approximately 80 nucleotides in length. Their secondary structure includes four short double-helical elements and three loops (D, anti-codon, and T loops).
Source: RNAcentral
GGAUCUUUAGCUCAGCUGGUCAGAGCACUCGGCUCAUAACCGAUUGGUCGUAGGUUCAAGUCCUACAAGAUCCACCA